This 155-nucleotide small nucleolar RNA is filed under the name Sorghum bicolor (sorghum). RNAcentral's name for it is "snoRNA snoZ112". It matches the Rfam family "Small nucleolar RNA Z112". From Rfam's summary of the family: Z112 is a member of the C/D class of snoRNA which contain the C (UGAUGA) and D (CUGA) box motifs. Most of the members of the box C/D family function in directing site-specific 2'-O-methylation of substrate RNAs. Lineage: Eukaryota; Viridiplantae; Streptophyta; Magnoliopsida; Poales; Poaceae. The record is from Rfam by way of RNAcentral.
GGACUGUGUAUUCUACUAGUGUCGUUUGUUAAUGUAAACAGCAGCUGCUUCUUUCUUCUGCAAGUGUCUAUCCUUCUGGUCUGAUCUAGGAUGGAGCCCCAUCUAUAGUUAUGUUUAAUUCGGCUGUGCUAUGAUUUCAAUCAGGUCUGACGUCU